RNAcentral lists this long non-coding RNA (345 nucleotides) under Homo sapiens (human). RNAcentral's name for it is "HSALNT0188352". Lineage: Eukaryota; Metazoa; Chordata; Mammalia; Primates; Hominidae. The record is from RNAcentral.
CUGGUCUCGAACUCCUGACCUCAGGUGAUCCACCCUCCUCAGCCUCCCACAGUGCUGGGAUGACAGGUGUAAGCCACCGUGCCCGGCCUGAAACACUUUUUAUUCCAAGCAUUUUGGAUAAAGGAUGUUCAACCCAUACUUAAGAAGUUUCAAAAUACCAGGUUAAUCAUCAAUAAAGAAGAGAUUACAAUAUUUGUUCUGCUUGUUUGUCAGGGUUCUAUGAAGAUCAAAUUAGAUGAUGCAAGUGAAAUAUUUUGGCUAAAACAAAAUUAAUGUUUAUUGAACAGCUACUAGAUCCCAGGUGCUUUACCAACAUUACCUCUUCAUGAGGUAACUUUUUUUUUU